This is a long non-coding RNA of Strigops habroptila (Kakapo), 296 nucleotides long. RefSeq lists it as uncharacterized. Lineage: Eukaryota; Metazoa; Chordata; Aves; Psittaciformes; Psittacidae. The record is from RefSeq and is a predicted model, not a curated record. The transcript is spliced from 3 exons.
UCCUAGUGACUGUCUCCACGUCUCUGCUGAAACAACGUGACUGAGAGGGCAGCAGGAGAGAGCCUACACAGAGCACCCCGAGACCACCCCUCCGGAGAAGCAAAGUUCACCCUCACCUCGCCUGCCAUUGCUGACGAUGUUCUGCUCCUCUGCGCAGCGAUCCCGCAACUGGUGCGACCUGUGGAACAGCGCAGUGAGUUUGGCAGGGCUCUGCAUCACUCAGCACUGGCCUUGAGCAACAAUGCCAGACAUUUCCUGCUGGGAGCAAGAGAAAAUCUAUUCAGCUGAGGCUUCUG